RNAcentral lists this ribosomal RNA (253 nucleotides) under uncultured bacterium. RNAcentral describes it as "partial 16S ribosomal RNA". It matches the Rfam family "Bacterial small subunit ribosomal RNA", at positions 524 to 776 of the family's 1533-position model. The record is from RNAcentral.
UACGUAGGGGGCAAGCGUUGUCCGGAAUUAUUGGGCGUAAAGAGCUCGUAGGCGGUCUGUCGCGUCUGCUGUGAAAACUCGGGGCUUAACCCCGGGCCUGCAGUGGGUACGGGCAGACUAGAGUGCGGUAGGGGAGACUGGAAUUCCUGGUGUAGCAGUGAAAUGCGUAGAUAUCCGGAGGAACACCGGUGGCGAAGGCGGCUUCCUGGACCGACACUGACGCUGAGGCGCGAAAGCUAGGGGAGCAAACGGG